RNAcentral lists this transfer RNA (91 nucleotides) under Gammaproteobacteria bacterium. Its description in RNAcentral is "tRNA-Ser". It matches the Rfam family "tRNA". From Rfam's summary of the family: Transfer RNA (tRNA) molecules are approximately 80 nucleotides in length. The record is from RNAcentral. Lineage: Bacteria; Pseudomonadati; Pseudomonadota; Gammaproteobacteria.
GGAAGGUUGGCGGAGUGGUCGAUCGCACCGCACUCGAAAUGCGGACUAGCCUUAUAGGUUAGCGAGGGUUCGAAUCCCUCACCUUCCUCCA